Molecule: ribosomal RNA, 216 nt
Filed under: Glomeromycotina sp.
Lineage: Eukaryota; Fungi; Glomeromycota
Description: partial small subunit ribosomal RNA
Rfam family: Eukaryotic small subunit ribosomal RNA (bases 40-216)
Source: RNAcentral
GGGUCAGUAGGUUGGUCGUGCCACCGGUACGUACUGGUCUCACUGAUUCCUCCUUCCUAAAGAACCGUAAUGCCAUUAAUUUGGUGUUGCGGGGAAACAGGACUGUUACUUUGAAAAAAUUAGAGUGUUUAAAGCAAGCUAACGCUUGAAUACAUUAGCAUGGAAUAAUGAAAUAGGGCGAUCGAUCCUAUUUUGUUGGUUUCUAGGAUUGACGUA